This 484-nucleotide ribosomal RNA is filed under the name uncultured bacterium. RNAcentral describes it as "partial 16S ribosomal RNA". It matches the Rfam family "Bacterial small subunit ribosomal RNA", at positions 30 to 507 of the family's 1533-position model. The record is from RNAcentral.
AUUGAACGCUGGCGGCAGGCCUAACACAUGCAAGUCGAGCGGAUGAAGGGAGCUUGCUCCUGGAUUCAGCGGCGGACGGGUGAGUAAUGCCUAGGAAUCUGCCUGGUAGUGGGGGAUAACGUCCGGAAACGGGCGCUAAUACCGCAUACGUCCUGAGGGAGAAAGUGGGGGAUCUUCGGACCUCACGCUAUCAGAUGAGCCUAGGUCGGAUUAGCUAGUUGGUGGGGUAAAGGCCUACCAAGGCGACGAUCCGUAACUGGUCUGAGAGGAUGAUCAGUCACACUGGAACUGCGACACGGUCCAGACUCCUACGGGAGGCAGCAGUGGGGAAUAUUGGACAAUGGGCGAAAGCCUGAUCCAGCCAUGCCGCGUGUGUGAAGAAGGUCUUCGGAUUGUAAAACACUUUAAGUUGGGAGGAAGGGCAGUAAGUUAAUACCUUGCUGUUUUGACGUUACCAACAGAAUAAGCACCGGCUAACUUCGUG